This is a long non-coding RNA of Populus euphratica (Euphrates poplar), 1275 nucleotides long. RefSeq lists it as uncharacterized. The transcript has 3 exons. The record is from RefSeq and is a predicted model, not a curated record. Lineage: Eukaryota; Viridiplantae; Streptophyta; Magnoliopsida; Malpighiales; Salicaceae.
UGGAUGACUUCCAGACCUUUCUACGCUCUUUCCUUCGCACCAAUCGAACCAACAACAACAUUUCUCUCGAGAUCAGAUGGUUAUGGAUGGUUUAUCUCAUCUGCAUUGCUCUCGAGAAAUCCAUAAAGACACCAUCCCAUUCGUGUUUCUUCAAAACCAGUUGAACAAACCACCUUCCAGGAACUUUCCAGAGGCCAAUGUUGCCUCAUUAAUCCAGAAUCUGCCCAGAACGUUGGACAACAUUUCCCUGUACAUGAUCCAACAGCUCAUCUCAAUUUCUUUUGCUCCCAAGAUAUUUUCAUCCAAACAACCAAACCCAGCUGGUUUUCAAACCGGUGUGCUACGAACUUGCCAGCUGUCAAAACUACCUGGAACGCUCCUUACCAUCAUCAAAUCACUGAAACUGUCCCCAAGAUCAAGAGAUGAAAUCCCUCCAGCUUACCCUCCUGAGAUCCAUCUUCUUCAUCUAUAAAUAAAGAUCUCAGGGAGGGAGGAAGAAAGGAAAAUAAAAAGGAGCUUUAUUUUUUUAAAAAAAAAAAAAAAGCACUGGCCAAGCAUAAACUCCUUUCACCCUCUUUAAUACCUUCACACCUCCGUCCCAAGAGUACCAGCUGGAAUCGUCGAGGUCCAAGUCAUUCUUUCAUUAAACUUCACUAUCAUUCUCCAAUGAUCUGAAGGCUCUUGAAAGACAAUUACAUUAGAAAGAACUGCUAGUUUUAAGGGGGGAGAAUUGGAAAGAAUGAUGCCUAUCACUGGCUCUCCUUGGGAGAAAGAGAUGGUUGCCUCUACUAAGACAGAUAGAAUUGACAGCAAAGAGAUGGAUAAUGAGUCCCUGAACGCAGAUGAUCAUAGCGUAGAGACGAUACCGAAAUUGGGAAUUUUUGAUCCCAUCAUCCCCAAACACCAAGCUGCGGUGAGAUUGCUGAGAGUUUACAGAAGCUACUGAACGAGGAGAAUACUUGCAGAUUGGGAAGUUCUUGUUGAGCAGAGAUGGUGGAAACUUUUAGACUUCGUUGAACUCCAUUGGAUUUCUAUUUCGUUCUUUGAUAUGAAGAAACAUGAAGCUGCCAUUUCUAAAUGGUCAAGAGCCAAAAGGAGAGCUGGAAGAGUUGGAAAAGGCUUGUCAGUUGAUGAAAAUGCCUAAAAACUUAUUGAUAAGCACUGGCUUGAAGCGGCACAGUAGACUCUCAAAUUUAUAGGAUUUCUGCAGUUAUGACUUGGUGCUCUUCAUUCAGUCUGAGAGCCUGGUUGUUAGUGCGAUGCACCGCACUAAAA